RNAcentral lists this small nuclear RNA (106 nucleotides) under Dasypus novemcinctus (nine-banded armadillo). Lineage: Eukaryota; Metazoa; Chordata; Mammalia; Cingulata; Dasypodidae. The record is from RNAcentral.
GUGCUUGCUUCAGCAGCAUGUACACUAAAAUUGGAACAUACAGAGAAGAUUAGCAUGACCCCUGCGCAAGGAUGACAUGCAAAUUUGUGAAGUGUUAAAAAUUAUU